ACUCCGGGAACCGGGGCUAAUACCGGAUGGUUGUUUGAACCGCAUGGUUCAAACAUAAAAGGUGGCUUCGGCUACCACUUACAGAUGGACCCGCGGCGCAUUAGCUAGUUGGUGAGGUAACGGCUCACCAAGGCGACGAUGCGUAGCCGACCUGAGAGGGUGAUCGGCCACACUGGGACUGAGACACGGCCCAGACUCCUACGGGAGGCAGCAGUAGGGAAUCUUCCGCAAUGGACGAAAGUCUGACGGAGCAACGCCGCGUGAGUGAUGAAGGUUUUCGGAUCGUAAAGCUCUGUUGUUAGGGAAGAACAAGUACCGUUCGAAUAGGGCGGUACCUUGACGGUACCUAACCAGAAAGCCACGGCUAACUACGUGCCAGCAGCCCGGGUAAUA
This 393-nucleotide ribosomal RNA is filed under the name Bacillus subtilis. RNAcentral's name for it is "bacterial SSU rRNA". It matches the Rfam family "Bacterial small subunit ribosomal RNA", at positions 146 to 525 of the family's 1533-position model. Lineage: Bacteria; Bacillati; Bacillota; Bacilli; Caryophanales; Bacillaceae. The record is from RNAcentral.